This 433-nucleotide ribosomal RNA is filed under the name uncultured bacterium. RNAcentral describes it as "partial 16S ribosomal RNA". It matches the Rfam family "Bacterial small subunit ribosomal RNA", at positions 29 to 507 of the family's 1533-position model. The record is from RNAcentral.
AACGAACGCUGGCGGCAUGCCUAACACAUGCAAGUCGAACGAGACCUUCGGGUCUAGUGGCGCACGGGUGCGUAACGCGUGGGAACCUGCCCUUAGGUUCGGAAUAACUCCCCGAAAGGGGUGCUAAUACCGGAUAAUGUCUUCGGACCAAAGAUUUAUCGCCUUUGGAUGGGCCCGCGUUGGAUUAGCUAGUUGGUAGGGUAAAAGCCUACCAAGGCUACGAUCCAUAGCUGGUCUGAGAGGAUGAUCAGCCACACUGGGACUGAGACACGGCCCAGACUCCUACGGGAGGCAGCAGUGGGGAAUAUUGGACAAUGGGCGAAAGCCUGAUCCAGCAAUGCCGCGUGAGUGAUGAAGGCCUUAGGGUUGUAAAGCUCUUUUACCCGGGAUGAUAAUGACGGUACCGGGAGAAUAAGCUCCGGCUAACUCCGUG